UGGCGAACGGGUGAGUAACACGUGGGUGAUCUGCCUUGCACUUCGGGAUAAGCUUGGGAAACUGGGUCUAAUACCGGAUAGGACAGCUGUUUAGUGUCAGUUGUGGAAAGUUUUUUCGGUGCAAGAUGAGCUCGCGGCCUAUCAGCUUGUUGGUGGGGUAAUGGCCUACCAAGGCGACGACGGGUAGCCGGCCUGAGAGGGUGACCGGCCACACUGGGACUGAGACACGGCCCAG
This 235-nucleotide ribosomal RNA is filed under the name uncultured Actinomycetales bacterium. RNAcentral's name for it is "partial 16S ribosomal RNA". It matches the Rfam family "Bacterial small subunit ribosomal RNA", at positions 96 to 334 of the family's 1533-position model. The record is from RNAcentral. Lineage: Bacteria; Bacillati; Actinomycetota; Actinomycetes; Actinomycetales.